Molecule: long non-coding RNA, 1300 nt
Filed under: Struthio camelus australis
Lineage: Eukaryota; Metazoa; Chordata; Aves; Struthioniformes; Struthionidae
Description: lncRNA (ENSSCUG00000014099.1)
Source: RNAcentral
AUUUAGGUCAUUUAAUAGGUAAUGCUAGCUUUCAAGAGUACUCUUAUGAAGAAAUGUCUUCUCUUGCUAAGGAGUCCCAGGUUUAAAAAAACAAAAAACCAGUAAGCUAGCAAGCAGGACAUCUGCUCUUGGGCCCCUGAGAGCUUGCUGGCCAACUAUGGACAAGUCCCAUCACAACUUUUCCUUGCAGUGAUGAAACCUAAAAGAACCCUGGGGACAUCUCUGUGCAUGCAGAAUAGGAAAAAAAGUCUUUUUUUGCUCUAUUUAGCAAUUUACCAGUGAGGUUUUUGCAUGUUAAUACAGGAUGACAUAAAACAUAGGCCCAGACCCUCGCUGAUAAAAUGCAGUCAGGUGAAGUUUAAACAAAUUCAAACAGUCAAUACUUACGAAGCACUAUUUGAAAGAACUUACCCUUCUAAAGGGGAUGCCUUGAUGCUUACAUGCAGGCAGAAAUAAUUAUAGGUGCAAAAAUAGAGGCCUAGUUGGAGGCGCUGUUUUUUUUUUUUUGGCAUCGCUAAUUACAGCACUGGAUUAAUAGUUUGUUGCUGGGAUAGGUUCAGACUGAGCUGGGGAAGAGCUAGCUGCAGGGGCUGGAUGCCAACGAGUCCCCGAGCUCCCAGAGGUGCUGUGCCAGCGUGGGACUGACGUGACACCUAGUGGCACGACCCAUUUCCAGGCCGAAUGGCUGCUUUCUAAAAGUCAGGUCUCUGCAGUUACCCUGCUGUUUACUGCCUUUCUCCUAGAGGUGAUGUUUCGAGGGGGACCUGGAGCAGCAUUGCAGAGUGAUGUAGAAACCCCCUGGAGCAGCAGCCUGGUUUAGCUGCGAUAUUUUACUCAGUCUCGAGCUCCUGCGGAGAAAACGCGGUAGAGGCGUUUUGAGCGCUCGCCGUUGCGAAUCUGCUCGGGCGUUGGGGGGAGAAACCUGCGCCUGGCGCGCUGGCUGCCCCANNNNNNNNNNNNCGCCGGUCGCCUGGGGACGGGGCUCCCGCCGAGGGGCUGGUCGGCGCUGUCCUCCGGUCGCGGCGAAGGAUGAGGGCGGCUGGGGGCCGUGGGCCUCUUUUUGGUUGAAGAAACCUCAGCGGAAGAAAUACGGUCUUCUUUCAAACUAUGAUGAAAACAUAGAGAUGGCUUCGUUUGACAGCGAUGAGGACACAGUGUUUGAGACAAGAAAUCUGAAGCGAUGAUUUGGGACCAGUGGCUUCAGCUGCACAGACUGACCAAGGAGGUGCAAAUCCACCAGUGGAAUCACCUUACCAAUCCUCGGGUUUUAUUUUUUUUCUAAUUGCUUAUAAUGAGUACU